Molecule: ribosomal RNA, 251 nt
Filed under: uncultured prokaryote
Description: partial 16S rRNA
Rfam family: Bacterial small subunit ribosomal RNA
Source: RNAcentral
ACGGAGGGUGCAAGCGUUAUCCGGAUUCACUGGGUUUAAAGGGUGCGUAGGCGGGCUUAUAAGUCAGUGGUGAAAGCUCCGAGCUUAACUUGGAAACUGCCAUUGAUACUGUUAGUCUUGAAUGUCGUAGAGGUAAGCGGAAUGUUGCAUGUAGCGGUGAAAUGCUUAGAUAUGUGACAGAACACCAAUUGCGAAGGCAGCUUACUAUGCGAUGAUUGACGCUGAGGCACGAAAGCGUGGGGAGCAAACAG